This 95-nucleotide non-coding RNA is filed under the name Odontella aurita. Lineage: Eukaryota; Bacillariophyta; Thalassiosirophyceae; Eupodiscales; Odontellaceae. The record is from RNAcentral.
UCGAGGAGCACAGAGAAUUCCGCGAGCUCUCGUGCUACUCGGUCGAAUGCCUGGGCAGGGCGCUGGAGCCGCGAGGCGACGACAACCCGAGAUGG